AACGGCGAGUGAAGCGGCAAUAGCUCAAAUUUGAAAUCUGGCUUCGGUCCGAAUUGUAAUUUGUAGAGGAUGCUUCGGCUUCGGCUUGGGUCUAAGUUCCUUGGAACAGGACGUCACAGAGGGUGAGAAUCCCGUACGUGGCCCUUGCCCCCGCCAUGUGAAGCUCCUUCGACGAGUCGAGUUGUUUGGGAAUGCAGCUCUAAAUGGGAGGUAAAUUUCUUCUAAAGCUAAAUAUUGGCCAGAGACCGAUAGCGCACAAGUAGAGUGAUCGAAAGAUGAAAAGCACUUUGGAAAGAGAGUUAAAAAGUACGUGAAAUUGUUGAAAGGGAAGCGCUUGCAAUCAGACUUGCCCGCGGUUGCUCAGCCGGUCUUCUGACCGGUGCACUCUUCCGCGGUCAGGCCAGCAUCAGUUUGGGCGGUCGGAUAAAGGCUUAGGGAAUGUGGCUCCCCUCGGGGAGUGUUAUAGCCCUUUGUGUAAUGCGGCCCGCCUGGACUGAGGUCCGCGCUUCGGCUAGGAUGCUGGCGUAAUGGUUGUAAGCGGCCCGUCUUGAAACACGGACCAAGGAGUCUAACAUCUAUGCGAGUGUUUGGGUGUCAAACCCGUGCGCGAAAUGAAAGUGAACGGAGGUGGGAACCUUAGGGUGCACCAUCGACCGAUCCUGAUGUCUUCGGAUGGAUUUGAGUAUGAGCAUAGCUGUUGGGACCCGAAAGAUGGUGAACUAUGCCUGAAUAGGGUGAAGCCAGAGGAAACUCUGGUGGAAGGGCUCGCAGCGGUUCUGACGUGCAAAUCGAUCGUCAAAUUUGGGUAUAGGGGCGAAAGACUAAUCGA
This 829-nucleotide ribosomal RNA is filed under the name Wiesneriomyces laurinus. RNAcentral describes it as "eukaryotic LSU rRNA". It matches the Rfam family "Eukaryotic large subunit ribosomal RNA", at positions 85 to 938 of the family's 3401-position model. Lineage: Eukaryota; Fungi; Ascomycota; Dothideomycetes; Tubeufiales; Wiesneriomycetaceae. The record is from RNAcentral.